This 254-nucleotide ribosomal RNA is filed under the name uncultured bacterium. RNAcentral's name for it is "partial 16S ribosomal RNA". It matches the Rfam family "Bacterial small subunit ribosomal RNA", at positions 524 to 776 of the family's 1533-position model. The record is from RNAcentral.
GACGAACCGUGCGAACGUUGUUCGGAAUUACUGGGCGUAAAGGGCUCGUAGGUGGCCAACUAAGUCAGACGUGAAAUCCCUCGGCUUAACCGGGGAACUGCGUCUGAUACUGGAUGGCUUGAGAUUGGGAGAGGGAUGCGGAAUUCCAGGUGUAGCGGUGAAAUGCGUAGAUAUCUGGAGGAACACCGGUGGCGAAGGCGGCAUCCUGGACCAACACUGACACUGAGGAGCAGAAAGCCAGGGGAGCAAACGGG